This is a non-coding RNA of Benincasa hispida (wax gourd), 3143 nucleotides long. NCBI's taxonomy places the organism in Eukaryota, Viridiplantae, Streptophyta, Magnoliopsida, Cucurbitales, Cucurbitaceae. The record is from RefSeq and is a predicted model, not a curated record.
AAACUGCGUUUAAAGUAGUUCUGCAGUCGAAAGGAACUAUAUUUUCCCCUCUUUUUCAGCACGAUUUCUUCCGAUUUCUUACCUUCCCUUUCCCUUUUUCCAUCUACAAAAUUAAAUCUCUUGUUUUCUUCCCAAAAUCCAAUUAUUCUUCACAUCUUCUUGCAUUUCAUCCUCUAAAUCAUGGGUUUUUCUCCCCCAAAAUCGAUUUUUAGGGUUUUCUUCUCACAUUUGGAAUUCUCCUCAAAUCUAAGGUGCGGUGGAUUGGAUUUGGGAAUAUUUUUUGAGUUGGAUAGGUUGAGUUUUAUGGAGUUCCUUGUUUUCCUAGGUUUUCACCCAUAGAGUUGUGAGUUAAUUUGUUAGGAUUUUCAAUGUAUUACCUAGGAAAGAAAAAGGGAAGAACAUGGCUAGUUCAAGUCAUAGGAAACAAGAUCCGAAACCCCAGUUUGAGCACCCUAGGUUCGUGUCCCAAGAGGUUUUAGAUAGAUUUCAUCACGUUGUAUCUACUAGGAAGCUAGUCCCCGAAAGGGCGUUAUCUCUAGAGGCAAACUUCUACCUCCACAUCACUAUUGAAAUACAAUAGCGUGGUUGGGAAUCUUUUGCUGGUCGUCCUGGUGAGGUGGUUGCUUCUCUUGUUAGAGAGUUUUAUGCCAACAUCGAUGAGGACAUGGAUUUCUCAUUGGUGAGAAACAUUCGAGUGCCCUUCUCCUCUCUCUGGAUCAAUGAAGUCUAUAGGUUAACUGACUUCAAUGAUGAAUAUGGUAGGUUCUGCUCACAGCAGUUCUCAGAUCAGGAGGUUAUCCAAGCUCUCCGUGGGCCUAGAGUUGAGUGGGUCCAUUCACCUGUUGUUGCAGUCCGGUUCAAGGAGAUAGAGAUGUUUGUUUUCGGUCAAAUCUGGCAUGCAUUUGUUUGCUCCAGGCUGAUGUCAGUGUUACGUCGUCACUAAGGAUAGAGAAAAACUCUUGUACUGCCUCGUCAAGUUAUGUCCGUCAAUGCGGUUGGGUCAUUAGAGCCUCCAUCCACCCUUCUAGACAUUGUUCCACUAUGGGUAGCCUAAGACAUCCUAGCUUGAUUAUAAAACUUUGCCAGAGGUCCGGGGUGGAAAUCCCUGCUGAGGAGGAAAGGAUGGGACGCUGUGGACCCAUUUGCAGGUCUUCAGUAGCUUUGUUCCAUGGCCAUGGUGUGGAAGAGCAUGACGAGAAGAAGCAAGAUGACAAGGAGAUUUCGGGCGAGGAGCUUCCUUAUUCUAAUCCCCAGGAUCAGUACGGUGUGUCAGUUGAGGAGGAGUCGGUUGGUGAACGCACCCUGAGGAUGGCCACUGAAGCCUUAAGGUAUCUCCAAAGUCCUAAAUAGAAAGAGGCAAAAAUGAAGAGAGCAGUAACCCAACCAUCACCCCGUGCGUGAUAAUGUUUUCAGGCGAGGUUUUCUGUUCCCUUGUACUUAUUAUUUUAAGAGCUUUAUUCAGGGAUACAUUGGGGGACAAUGUAUCAUUUUAAGUCGGAGGUGGGGUACCCGUUGGAUAGUAUAUUUUAGCUUGGUGUCCUUGAGCGUUUUGCUCGGACAUUGUUGUGUGCUUAAUUGUUUUGUUUGCUCUGUUGUUUUGGUUGUUAUGAUGAUAGUUUAUGACGCACUCCUCAUGUGAUAAAAUUUGCAUGAGAUAAUGUUAGGAGAGCAUGAUCAUGAUUUUUAGCCCAAUUUAAAAAAAAUUUCUUGUCUCUCAUGCAUCUUUAAGUCAUUGUUCUUGCAAAAAUUAAAGUCUUCAUGCUUAGAAUUGGGUUAUCUGGUUUGUAUUUCUGUUGUCACCCCAAAAGGUCCACCUUUUACUUGGGAGUAACCUUACUUGUUUUAGAGAAAAACUAGACAAAGUGGAUAAAUAAGGGCCUAGUGUGUGAAUUAAAAAAGAAAAAAAGAGAGAGAAAAGCAAAUUAGUUGCUAAGGAAAAAUGCAUAUAAAAAAAUGAGGUAAUUGCUAGUUUCAAAGUGUGUGUGUGUGUGUGCAUGGAUAGGGUGGAAAAAGUUACCUCUGUCGUGUCUAGUUAGAGCCCUGUGAGAAAAUAGUGGAUAAGUUUUCGGUGGUUGAGUGUGAAAGCUAGCCCUUUAGGUAAAAUAAAUGUCUUUCUAUGUUUUGUGUAGGUGAGUUUAGGUACCCUUGUCUUAGUGUUGCCUUUUUUGCAAGUUUGAUAUGUUUGGAGUCGAUAACCGAGCAAGAGUAGGAAAAACAGAUUUAAGGCCUUAUAAAACCUAUCCGGGUUGUGCAAGCGUAACUAGCAAGACUCUAGACUCACUCAUGCAUGAAUAGAUUUAGAAUUAUUCUUAAAAAUGUACUUCAUUGAUUGAUUGUAAUCAAGUUCAUUCUUGAUUGCAAAAUUUAUCUUUAUUGACUGUUGAGACUAGAGUAACAACUUUUGCAACUUGAGCAAGCAUGUUUUUUAAUGAAUGAAUAUAUUUGUUUAAAUGUAUGUUUAUAUCUUGCUCGAGACGAGCAAGAAUUAAGUUGGGGAUGUUUGAUAGCUCUAAAAAAGAGCUAUAAGUUCUAGCUUAAUUUAGGCUCAUUAAUGGAUUUUAUAUGUUAAUUAUCUUAUUUUGUAGGUAUCGAGCAACCAAAAGGUAGAACUGACCAUUUGAUGAGAAAUAGGGUUAAUUUGAAGCAAUUUAAGAUAAUUUGAGUAUCUGGGCUUCAAAGAAGAGGAAAUGACCAAACGACCCCUAUUCGGAGCAUUGCAAUGCUCAUACAUGUAUAAAUCCAACACUUGUGCAAUGCUGAGAGGCAGAACCUAAAGAUAUAGGGCAACAUUGCAACACUGCGAAUAUUAACUAAACGCCAAGCAUCUCCGCGCGCGAAUAUUAACUGUCGCAAGUGAAUGUCGCAGCAAUGUUGCAUGUCAUGCCAAUGCUCAAGGGUUACUGUUGACAAAAGUGUUGCAAUGCUCUGACUAGCGUUGCAACACUAGCCCCAAUUUCUAUUUAAUCUCUCUUCGAUUUUAGGUUAAAACUAUGCUGAUUUUUAUGAAGGCCGGGGAGAGGCCUAGUUUUCUUCCUUCCUCUUUACAUUUUCAGUAUCAUUAGGCUAGAUUUAUGUUUUAUUUUGGACUGUAAGCAUGAAUUGGGUUGUUUCUAAUGGAUUUAUCUAUGGAUUUUUUAGGUAAA